CGGACGGGUGCGUAACGCGUGGGAAUCUACCUUGUAGUGGGGGAUAGCCCGGAGAAAUCCGGAUUAAUACCGCAUAAUCUCUACGGAGCAAAGUGGGGGAUCUUCGGACCUCACGCUAUUAGAUGAGCCCGCGUUAGAUUAGCUUGUUGGUGGGGUAAUGGCUCACCAAGGCAACGAUCUAUAGCUGGUUUGAGAGGAUGAUCAGCCACACUGGGACUGAGACACGGCCCAG
This 232-nucleotide ribosomal RNA is filed under the name uncultured bacterium. RNAcentral's name for it is "partial 16S ribosomal RNA". It matches the Rfam family "Bacterial small subunit ribosomal RNA", at positions 99 to 334 of the family's 1533-position model. The record is from RNAcentral.